This 236-nucleotide long non-coding RNA is filed under the name Setaria italica (foxtail millet). RNAcentral's name for it is "long non-coding RNA (SITA_LNC004977)". The record is from RNAcentral. Lineage: Eukaryota; Viridiplantae; Streptophyta; Magnoliopsida; Poales; Poaceae.
CCGGAGCGUAAUACCCUAUGUCCAAUAUGCGUGGAUUGUAUGCUGGUAUGAGAUGAGAUACCUUCGGGGGCCGCCCUUAGCCUUCUUAUAUAGGCUGACAACCAAGAGUUACAAGUCAGUUUGAAUCUAAUCUACUCGGUAGUUACAUAGAAAGUAAUUUGAGUUGGACUACAAAACGUGUUCCAUGUUAUCCGGGCAGAUUUGCACUGUCUUGUUGCCUUAACGUGCACUCCAAG